This 371-nucleotide ribosomal RNA is filed under the name uncultured bacterium. Its description in RNAcentral is "bacterial SSU rRNA". It matches the Rfam family "Bacterial small subunit ribosomal RNA", at positions 527 to 896 of the family's 1533-position model. The record is from RNAcentral.
GGACGGUGCUAGCGUUGUUCGGAAUCACUGGGCGUAAAGCGCGUGUAGGCGGCCCAUUAAGUCUGAUGUGAAAGCCCGGGGCUCACCCCCGGAAGUGCAUUGGAAACUGAUGGGCUGGAGUCCCGGAGAGGAGGGUGGAAUUCCUGGUGUAGCGGUGAAAUGCGUAGAUAUCAGGAGGAACACCGGUGGCGAAGGCGGCCCUCUGGACGGUGACUGACGCUGAGACGCGAAAGCGUGGGGAGCAAACAGGAUUAGAUACCCUGGUAGUCCACGCCGUAAACGAUGAGCACUAGGUGUCGCGGGUAUUGACCCCUGCGGUGCCGACGCUAACGCAUUAAGUGCUCCGCCUGGGGACUACGGCCGCAAGGUUA